AUGCACCUCACGCUGCACCUCACGCGACGGCGGCAGGAACCUAGCUCGCCUCAAGCGGCAGCGAAAGGGGAAGCACCCGGUCAUGGAUGGUUCUUGCCAACGGCGGCGUCCAAUUUGGCAGGCAGUUCGACCUGUUCCAAAUUGUUUGUGCUGCUAUGCUGGGCGAUGCCAUACUAUCCUGGCGCCCCAAACUUUAGAUCCAUAUACGUUCAGUUUAUGCAUAGUGUUCAUGUGGUGAAGCAUGAACUAGAGGGGAAGAAUAUAUUUUGUCAUGCUUCACAUUGUAAAUUGUUUGUGUUGCAAAAUUUACCAAUUACAUCUCUUCAGUUCAUGCGUGUGACACUGUCAAAUUUAGAGGGGAAGAAUUUAUUUGUCAUUCAGUUCAUGCUUAUGACACAGUCAAAUCCGGUUGUCAUUCAGUUUAUGCAUAGUGUCAUAGUUUAUGUGCCGAUGCAUUGA
RNAcentral lists this ribosomal RNA (459 nucleotides) under Triticum aestivum (bread wheat). RNAcentral describes it as "partial small subunit ribosomal RNA". The record is from RNAcentral. Lineage: Eukaryota; Viridiplantae; Streptophyta; Magnoliopsida; Poales; Poaceae.